RNAcentral lists this small nuclear RNA (107 nucleotides) under Propithecus coquereli (Coquerel's sifaka). Lineage: Eukaryota; Metazoa; Chordata; Mammalia; Primates; Indriidae. The record is from RNAcentral.
CUGCUCGCUUCAGCAUCACAUAUACUAAAAUUGUAAUGAUACAGGGAAGAUUAGGAUGGCCUCUGUGCAAGGAUGACAUGCAGAUUUGUCAAGUGUUCCAUGUCUUU